AGCAAGUAGAGUACAGUGUACCUGAGCAGGUAGUGUACAGUGUACCUGAGCAGGUAGUGCACAGUGUACCUGAGCAGGUAGUAUACAGUGUACCUGAGCAGGUAGUGUACAGUGUACCUGAGCAGGUAGUGUACAGUGUACCUGAGCAGGUAGUGUACAGUGUAUCUGAGCAGUUCAUUACCUGAGCAGGUAGUAUGCGGUGCCUUAAUGAGUACUUAAUGAGUACUUUCAUUAUUUAUACCA
Molecule: long non-coding RNA, 243 nt
Organism: Epinephelus moara (kelp grouper)
Lineage: Eukaryota; Metazoa; Chordata; Actinopteri; Perciformes; Serranidae
Exons: 3
Source: RefSeq, a predicted model, not a curated record